GCCCUGCAUGAAGUCGGAAUUGCUAGUAAUCGCGGAUCAGCAUGCCGCGGUGAAUACGUUCCCGGGCCUUGUACACACCGCCCGUCACACCAUGGGAGCCGGUAAUACCCGAAGUCAGUAGUCCAACCACGUGAGGACGCUGCCGAAGGUAGGAUUGGCGACUGGGGUGAAGUCGUAACAAGGUAGC
This 187-nucleotide ribosomal RNA is filed under the name uncultured bacterium. RNAcentral's name for it is "partial 16S ribosomal RNA". It matches the Rfam family "Bacterial small subunit ribosomal RNA", at positions 1313 to 1500 of the family's 1533-position model. The record is from RNAcentral.